RNAcentral lists this ribosomal RNA (468 nucleotides) under uncultured bacterium. Its description in RNAcentral is "partial 16S ribosomal RNA". It matches the Rfam family "Bacterial small subunit ribosomal RNA", at positions 28 to 507 of the family's 1533-position model. The record is from RNAcentral.
GACGAACGCUGGCGGCGUGCUUAACACAUGCAAGUCGAACGGAAAGGCCCUGCUUUUGUGGGGUGCUCGAGUGGCGAACGGGUGAGUAACACGUGAGUAACCUGCCCUUGACUUUGGGAUAACUUCAGGAAACUGGGGCUAAUACCGGAUAGGAGCUCCUGCUGCAUGGUGGGGGUUGGAAAGUUUCGGCGGUUGGGGAUGGACUCGCGGCUUAUCAGCUUGUUGGUGGGGUAGUGGCUUACCAAGGCUUUGACGGGUAGCCGGCCUGAGAGGGUGACCGGCAACAUUGGGACUGGGAUACGGCCCAGACUCCUACGGGGGGCAGCAGUGGGGAAUAUUGCACAAUGGGCGGAAGCCUGAUGCAGCAACGCCGCGUGCGGGAUGACGGCCUUCGGGUUGUAAACCGCUUUCGCCUGUGACGAAGCGUGAGUGACGGUAAUGGGUAAAGAAGCACCGGCUAACUACGUG